CUUGCGGAAUCGGAUCCGAUUUUGUAAAAUUUUGUCUUCACGGCCGCCAUUGUUAUGUGUUUACAAUGUUGUUUGUGUCAAUCAGAUACGAUUUUACUCGAAUUUCUACAAUAUUUGUCGGCGAUUUUCUGUAUAAAGCUAGCGGUUGAACAAAAUGAACACCGCCGUUAUGAAUAACAAUGAUAAAAAUAAGUUUUUAGCUCGUUUAAUUGGAGACUUUGGUGAACAUGGUGAAAAGGUUUUCAAAGUAAUUUCUUAUUUUCUUUCCCAUGGAAGGUAACUACGUCGGGCGUAGCUAGAAACCAACUAUCCUAGUC
This 317-nucleotide long non-coding RNA is filed under the name Mytilus galloprovincialis (Mediterranean mussel). The record is from RNAcentral. Lineage: Eukaryota; Metazoa; Mollusca; Bivalvia; Mytilida; Mytilidae.